This 1150-nucleotide ribosomal RNA is filed under the name Sphingobacterium alimentarium. Its description in RNAcentral is "bacterial SSU rRNA". It matches the Rfam family "Bacterial small subunit ribosomal RNA", at positions 303 to 1466 of the family's 1533-position model. Lineage: Bacteria; Pseudomonadati; Bacteroidota; Sphingobacteriia; Sphingobacteriales; Sphingobacteriaceae. The record is from RNAcentral.
AUCCCCCACACUGGUACUGAGACACGGACCAGACUCCUACGGGAGGCAGCAGUAAGGAAUAUUGGUCAAUGGAGGGAACUCUGAACCAGCCAUGCCGCGUGCAGGAUGACUGCCCUAUGGGUUGUAAACUGCUUUUGUCCAGGAAUAACCACCACUACGUGUAGUGGCUUGAAUGUACUGGAAGAAUAAGGAUCGGCUAACUCCGUGCCAGCAGCCGCGGUAAUACGGAGGAUCCGAGCGUUAUCCGGAUUUAUUGGGUUUAAAGGGUGCGUAGGCGGCUCAUUAAGUCAGGGGUGAAAGACGGCAGCUCAACUGUCGCAGUGCCUUUGAUACUGAUGAGCUUGAAUGUGGUUGAAGAUGGCGGAAUGAGACAAGUAGCGGUGAAAUGCAUAGAUAUGUCUCAGAACUCCGAUUGCGAAGGCAGCUGUCUAAGUCAUUAUUGACGCUGAUGCACGAAAGCGUGGGGAUCGAACAGGAUUAGAUACCCUGGUAGUCCACGCCCUAAACGAUGAUAACUCGAUGUUGGCGAUACACAGUCAGCGUCUUAGCGAAAGCGUUAAGUUAUCCACCUGGGGAGUACGCCCGCAAGGGUGAAACUCAAAGGAAUUGACGGGGGCCCGCACAAGCGGAGGAGCAUGUGGUUUAAUUCGAUGAUACGCGAGGAACCUUACCCGGGCUUGAAAGUUACUGAAUUAUCUAGAGAUAGAUAAGUCCUUCGGGACAGGAAACUAGGUGCUGCAUGGCUGUCGUCAGCUCGUGCCGUGAGGUGUUGGGUUAAGUCCCGCAACGAGCGCAACCCCUAUGUUUAGUUGCCAGCAUGUAAUGAUGGGGACUCUAAACAGACUGCCAGCGUAAGCUGUGAGGAAGGUGGGGACGACGUCAAGUCAUCAUGGCCCUUACGUCCGGGGCUACACACGUGCUACAAUGGAUGGUACAGCGGGCAGCUACCUGGUAACAGGAUGCUAAUCUCGAAAAGCCAUUCACAGUUCGGAUUGAGGUCUGCAACUCGACCUCAUGAAGUUGGAUUCGCUAGUAAUCGCGUAUCAGCAAUGACGCGGUGAAUACGUUCCCGGGCCUUGUACACACCGCCCGUCAAGCCAUGAAAGUUGGGGGUGCCUAAAGCAUGAACCGCAAGGAGCGUUUAGGAAAC